GGCUCGUUGGUCUAGGGGUAUGAUUCUCGCUUUGGGUGCGAGAGGUCCCGGGUUCAAAUCCCGCAGGCGUUA
RNAcentral lists this transfer RNA (72 nucleotides) under Alosa alosa (allis shad). RNAcentral's name for it is "tRNA-Pro". It matches the Rfam family "tRNA". Rfam says of the family: Transfer RNA (tRNA) molecules are approximately 80 nucleotides in length. Their secondary structure includes four short double-helical elements and three loops (D, anti-codon, and T loops). The record is from RNAcentral. Lineage: Eukaryota; Metazoa; Chordata; Actinopteri; Clupeiformes; Clupeidae.